Ostrinia nubilalis (European corn borer) is the source of this 985-nucleotide long non-coding RNA. RefSeq lists it as uncharacterized. The record is from RefSeq and is a predicted model, not a curated record. NCBI's taxonomy places the organism in Eukaryota, Metazoa, Arthropoda, Insecta, Lepidoptera, Crambidae. The transcript is spliced from 3 exons.
UUUGUUAUUUCUGUAAUUUUGGGUUACUUCUUUUGUUUUUGGAUACCCUUGAAUUAUUGGCUGGUAAUUCUUUGGGUAUCUACCUAUUUAUUUUAUUUUUUUCAAUAACCAGAAGGUGUAAAGUGCACCGAUAAUAAUUCGUUGUUUUAUUUGGUUGCCAUGUUACUGUUAGUGCUUGAUAUGAUUUUAUUAACAGACUUGUAUCUUAAUGUCUAAAGUAAAUAAUUCACCUUUGUUAAUUUAAAUAACUUACGCCAUGCAUAGUAGAGAUUCUAAAGUCUUUACAAAGUUCAUUUAUAUUGGAAUCAGGGCCGGACCGUGAGUUUAGGGGCCCUGAGCUAAUAUUACUUAGGGGCCCACCUACUGUAGUCUUUCGCAUUAUCGUCUAUUUUUUACUUUGACUUGUCUUAGCUAGGGGCCCCUUGAAUCCACGGGGCCCUGGGCUGAAGCCCAAAAAGCCCAUAGAUCCUGCCCUGAUUGGAAUAGGUAUUUUUCUGAUUUUACAACCAACAUUAGUACCUUAUUAGAAAACGAACUUAACUCUCUUAUUGUUUAUAAGCAGCGAAAUGAUCAUUUUCAAUAUUUAUCUAUCGAUACUUUUUAUAAUUUAUGACUACUUAGUGGGUAUUUGGAAAAUAUUAUAAACUUCAUUUGCCCUUACAACUAUGUAUGUGUUUCCGAGUCUGAUUACAGGGAAUCCCCGGGACGAUAUCAACCUUGACACGUGGAUUAAUUAAAUAAUCCAUUGCGAAAGUUCCACUUCCGGUCCGGGAUGCAGUUCGGGACGAGAUUUUUAACAAAAAUCCUGUAGUCAUCAUGAAGAAAAUCGACGGGGAAACUACGAAGAAAACUUAAUUGUUAGUCGCAUUUUUUUUUUAUGUUUAAGUACUUGUUUAAAGUAUUUUAUUAUCAUUUAUUUAUGUAUCUUUUAUUUCAUUCAAUUUGAGGUAUGAGCAAAAUUAUUAAUUUGAUGUAAAAACAUAAC